AACCUUUACAAUGCACGCAAGUGUGAUAAGGGAAUCCCAAGUGCUUUGCUUUUGCAAGGCUUUUGCUAAGUUAAAACACUUUGU
This 84-nucleotide ribosomal RNA is filed under the name uncultured archaeon. RNAcentral describes it as "partial 16S ribosomal RNA". The record is from RNAcentral.